RNAcentral lists this long non-coding RNA (248 nucleotides) under Zostera marina. RNAcentral's name for it is "long non-coding RNA (ZMAR_LNC004151)". The record is from RNAcentral. Lineage: Eukaryota; Viridiplantae; Streptophyta; Magnoliopsida; Alismatales; Zosteraceae.
UAUUCCUUGCUUGAAGGGCGUUGCUGGGAGUGACUGACGUAAUCAGGCAUGUCUCACCAGUACUCCCCCCUGAAGAGAGUAUGGUUGAACACCCGUGUACCGCCAGUAUCCCCCCCCCAAGCAAGGUGAUCCGCAUCAAGGCCAAAGCGACAAGAUGGGAUCGAGUCAAUGUGGCCACAGCGACACAAUGACUCCGUUACCCAUGCACUAUCAGAUGGGUUGAUUCACUAUCAGAAUCUAGUUCCAGG